Long non-coding RNA from Leptonychotes weddellii (Weddell seal), 864 nucleotides. RefSeq lists it as uncharacterized. NCBI's taxonomy places the organism in Eukaryota, Metazoa, Chordata, Mammalia, Carnivora, Phocidae. The record is from RefSeq and is a predicted model, not a curated record.
UAUACACAUAUUAGCUGGAGAGCAUGAUCAGGUCUAUACUCUUAUCUUGCCCACAUGACAACAUUUCAAAGCACAGGUGAGAUUCAAAGAAGAGAAGAGAUGUGGUUUGUUUCACCGAGGGAAUAAAGGAAGCUCGUAAACAUCUACUGGGAUGGCCAAGUGAAGAAUCAAGUGUGAGAGACAGAAAGGCAGGCAGGGUGAGGGGCUCGAUCUAGAGAAAUGGGAAGAGGAGAUGAAAGACGUCCGAUGGAACAGCAGUCCCUGGUGAUGUGUUAAAAGAAGAGAAACUUCGAAAGAAGCAGGAUAGUGAAGAUCAGAUUAUAUUAUUUGAAAAUAAUAAUCUAACCAUGUUGGGUGGCAGAAGAAAGCCCAGGAAACAGAGAAAGUAAAUCAGAUAACUUAGCUACAUCCCAACCGAGCUAUGGAGUUUGCGUGCCUACAAUAACACUCUCUCUCCUUAAAAUGACCUAAUGGAGAAGUCAUUUCUUCCUUCCUGAAGUACUUAAAAUGGAACAGUAGCCAAACUUUAGACUUGAAUACUACUCACCACUAAAAAGAUUCAGAGUUCCUUGGAGAAUAAUGGAUUCCAAGCGUUGGAACAGAAGAAAAUCAAGAUGGACUGGAACUUCUUGUGGGUCUCAGAAAACAAAAAUGCUUUCAGAAGUGCCUGGGCUUGAGGCUGACUGGGCCACCGAGGGAGCUCCAGAGGUCACACUGUGACCAUCUGAGAAUCGACAUGAGAAUAUAGAGUAUAAUUAAUCAGAACAAGUGCAUCUUAGAAAAAGCUCUGAGUUCAAGAUGCUAAAACAGGAAAGUUCAUGUAAAGUAUAUCAAAAAAGGUUAUUUGUAACACAAAAGAGUGAG